CAGCCGCCGCGGUAAUACGUAGGGUGCAAGCGUUAAUCGGAAUUACUGGGCGUAAAGCGUGCGCAGGCGGUUUGUUAAGACAGUCGUGAGAUCCCCGGGCUUAACCUGGGAACUGCGAUUGUGACUGGCAAGCUAGAGUACGGCAGAGGGGGGUGGAAUUCCUGGUGUAGCAGUGAAAUGCGUAGAGAUCAGGAGGAACACCGAUGGCGAAGGCAGCCCCCUGGGCUAGUACUGACGCUCAUGCACGAAAGCGUGGGGAGCAAGCAGGAUUAGAUACCCUGGUAGUCCACGCCGUAAACUAUGAUUACUCGUUGUUCGGCGAUAUACAGUUGGAGACUAAGCGAAAGUGAUAAGUAAUCCGCCUGGGGAGUACGAUCGCAAGGUUGAAACUCAAAUGAAUUGACGG
This 406-nucleotide ribosomal RNA is filed under the name beta proteobacterium enrichment culture clone LiUU-15-740. Its description in RNAcentral is "bacterial SSU rRNA". It matches the Rfam family "Bacterial small subunit ribosomal RNA", at positions 509 to 916 of the family's 1533-position model. Lineage: Bacteria; Pseudomonadati; Pseudomonadota; Betaproteobacteria. The record is from RNAcentral.